RNAcentral lists this ribosomal RNA (480 nucleotides) under uncultured bacterium. Its description in RNAcentral is "bacterial SSU rRNA". It matches the Rfam family "Bacterial small subunit ribosomal RNA", at positions 24 to 518 of the family's 1533-position model. The record is from RNAcentral.
UCAGGAUGAACGCUGGCGGCGUGCCUAACACAUGCAAGUCGAACGAGAGAGGAAGGUGCUUGCACCAUCCAAUCGAGUGGCGGACGGGUGAGUAACGCGUGGGUAACCUGCCUCAUACAGGGGGAUAACAACUGGAAACGGUUGAUAAUACCGCAUAAGCGCACAGCAUCGCAUGAUGCAGUGUGAAAACUCCGGUGGUAUGAGAUGGACCCGCGUCUGAUUAGCCAGUUGGCGGGGUAACGGCCACCAAAGCGACGAUCAGUAGCCGGCCUGAGAGGGUGAACGGCCACAUUGGGACUGAGACACGGCCCAAACUCCUACGGGAGGCAGCAGUGGGGAAUAUUGCACAAUGGGGGAAACCCUGAUUGCAGCGACGCCGCGUGAGCGAAGAAGUAUUUCGGUAUGUAAAGCUCUAUCAGCAGGGAAGAAAAUGACGGUACCUGACUAAGAAGCCCCGGCUAACUACGUGCCAGCCGCCGC